UUAGUACCCGGAGGAAGAGAAAGAAAAAUCGAUUCCCUGAGUAGCGGCGAGCGAAACGGGAAGAGCCCAAACCAAUAAGCUUGCUUAUUGGGGUUGUAGGACACUCUGUACGGAGUUACAAAAGAAUCUGUUAGACGAAUAACCUGGAAAGGUUAAUCAUAGAAGGUAAUAAUCCUGUAGUCGAAAACAAAUUCUCUCUUGAGUGGAUCCUGAGUACGACGGAGCACGUGAAAUUCCGUCGGA
This 243-nucleotide ribosomal RNA is filed under the name Staphylococcus delphini. Its description in RNAcentral is "partial 23S ribosomal RNA". It matches the Rfam family "Bacterial large subunit ribosomal RNA", at positions 203 to 441 of the family's 2925-position model. Lineage: Bacteria; Bacillati; Bacillota; Bacilli; Caryophanales; Staphylococcaceae. The record is from RNAcentral.